GUGGGGGGGCGCGCCUAUACUGCAAGUCGAACGAACUCUGGUAUUGAUUGGUGCUUGCAUCAUGAUUUACAUUUGAGUGAGUGGCGAACUGGUGAGUAACACGUGGGAAACCUGCCCAGAAGCGGGGGAUAACACCUGGAAACAGAUGCUAAUACCGCAUAACAACUUGGACCGCAUGGUCCGAGCUUGAAAGAUGGCUUCGGCUAUCACUUUUGGAUGGUCCCGCGGCGUAUUAGCUAGAUGGUGGGGUAACGGCUCACCAUGGCAAUGAUACGUAGCCGACCUGAGAGGGUAAUCGGCCACAUUGGGACUGAGACACGGCCCAAACUCCUACGGGAGGCAGCAGUAGGGAAUCUUCCACAAUGGACGAAAGUCUGAUGGAGCAACGCCGCGUGAGUGAAGAAGGGUUUCGGCUCGUAAAACUCUGUUGUUAAAGAAGAACAUAUCUGAGAGUAACUGUUCAGGUAUUGACGGUAUUUAACCAGAAAGCCACGGCUAACUACGUGCCAGCAGCCGCGGUAAUACGUAGGUGGCAAGCGUUGUCCGGAUUUAUUGGGCGUAAAGCGAGCGCAGGCGGUUUUUUAAGUCUGAUGUGAAAGCCUUCGGCUCAACCGAAGAAGUGCAUCGGAAACUGGGAAACUUGAGUGCAGAAGAGGACAGUGGAACUCCAUGUGUAGCGGUGAAAUGCGUAGAUAUAUGGAAGAACACCAGUGGCGAAGGCGGCUGUCUGGUCUGUAACUGACGCUGAGGCUCGAAAGUAUGGGUAGCAAACAGGAUUAGAUACCCUGGUAGUCCAUACCGUAAACGAUGAAUGCUAAGUGUUGGGAGGGUUUCCGCCCUUCAGUGCUGCAGCUAACGCAUUAAGCAUUCCGCCUGGGGGAGUACGGCCGCAAGGCUGAAACUCAAAGGAAUUGACGGGGGCCCGCACAAGCGGUGGAACCAUGGUGGUUUAAUUCGAAGCUACGCGAAGAACCUUACCAGGUCUUGACAUACUAUGCAAAUCUAAGAAGAUUAGACGUUCCCUUCGGGGACAUGGAUACAAGGUGGGGGCAAGGGUUGUCGUCACCUCCUGUCGUGGAAAGUUUGGGGUUAAAUCCCCCCACCAAGGCCACCCCUUAUUAUCAUUUGCCAGCAUUAAAUUGGGCACUCU
RNAcentral lists this ribosomal RNA (1150 nucleotides) under Lactiplantibacillus plantarum. RNAcentral describes it as "bacterial SSU rRNA". It matches the Rfam family "Bacterial small subunit ribosomal RNA", at positions 35 to 1141 of the family's 1533-position model. Lineage: Bacteria; Bacillati; Bacillota; Bacilli; Lactobacillales; Lactobacillaceae. The record is from RNAcentral.